CCUACGUGAGGCUGCAGUGGGGAAUAUUGGACAAUGGGCGAAAGCCUGAUCCAGCCAUGCCGCGUGUGUGAAGAAGGCCUUCGGGUUGUAAAGCACUUUCAGUGGGGAAGAAAGCCUUGAGGCUAAUACCCUCGAGGAAGGACAUCACCCACAGAAGAAGCACCGGCUAACUCCGUGCCAGCAGCCGCGGUAAUACGGAGGGUGCGAGCGUUAAUCGGAAUUACUGGGCGUAAAGCGCGCGUAGGCGGUCUGAUAAGCCGGUUGUGAAAGCCCCGGGCUCAACCUGGGAACGGCAUCCGGAACUGUCAGGCUAGAGUGCAGGAGAGGAAGGUAGAAUUCCCGGUGUAGCGGUGAAAUGCGUAGAGAUCGGGAGGAAUACCAGUGGCGAAGGCGGCCUUCUGGACUGACACUGACGCUGAGGUGCGAAAGCGUGGGUAGCAAACAGGAUUAGAUACCCUAGUAGUC
RNAcentral lists this ribosomal RNA (465 nucleotides) under Vreelandella stevensii. RNAcentral's name for it is "partial 16S ribosomal RNA". It matches the Rfam family "Bacterial small subunit ribosomal RNA", at positions 338 to 795 of the family's 1533-position model. The record is from RNAcentral. Lineage: Bacteria; Pseudomonadati; Pseudomonadota; Gammaproteobacteria; Oceanospirillales; Halomonadaceae.